This 443-nucleotide ribosomal RNA is filed under the name uncultured bacterium. RNAcentral's name for it is "partial 16S ribosomal RNA". It matches the Rfam family "Bacterial small subunit ribosomal RNA", at positions 338 to 795 of the family's 1533-position model. The record is from RNAcentral.
CCUACGGGUGGCAGCAGUGGGGAAUAUUGGGCAAUGGGCGCAAGCCUGACCCAGCAACGCCGCGUGAAGGAAGAAGGCUUUCGGGUUGUAAACUUCUUUUCUGAGGGACGAAGAAAGUGACGGUACCUCAGGAAUAAGCCACGGCUAACUACGUGCCAGCAGCCGCGGUAAUACGUAGGUGACAAGCGUUAUCCGGAUUUAUUGGGUGUAAAGGGCGUGUAGGCGGGAAGGCAAGUCAGAUGUGAAAUCUCAGGGCUCAACCCGGAGCCUGCAUUGGAAACUGUUUUUCUUGAGUGCUGGAGAGGCAAGCGGAAUUCCGGGUGUAGCGGUGAAAUGCGUAGAGAUACGGAGGAACACCAGUGGCGAAGGCGGACUGCUGGACAGUAACUGACGCUGAGGUGCGAAAGCGUGGGGAGCAAACAGGAUUAGAUACCCUUGUAGUC